CUCCAAAUUCGAAUUUGGAGGAUUGUGGUCAAGUCCGGUCCACAGAUGGAUUGCGUCCGAUUAGUAAUAUUGGGUAAGAGCCCAACUAGCCUUAAUCGUUACGGUUUGUGGGAGCAAGAGCCCGGAGAUGGAAUCUGAGACACGAUUCCAGGCCCUACGGGGCUCAGCAGGCGCGAAAACUUUACAAUGCAGGAAACUGUGAUAAGGGAACCCCGAGUGCCCGUACACGCGGGCUGUCUGGGUGUUUAAUAUGCACCCAAAGAAAGGUCCGGGCAAGACCGGUGCCAGCCGCCGCGGUAAUACCGGCGGCUCGAGUGGUGACCACUUUUAUUGGGCUUAAAGCGUUCGUAGCUGGACUGCUAAGUCCCUUGGGAAAUCCGCCGGCUUAACCGGCGGGCGUCUAAGGGAUACUGGCAGUCUUGGGACCGGGAGAGGUAAGAGGUACUCCGGGGGUAGGAGUGAAAUCCUGUAAUCCCCGGGGGACCACCGGUGGCGAAGGCGUCUUACCAGAACGGCUCCGACAGUGAGGAACGAAAGCUGGGGGAGCGAACCGGAUUAGAUACCCGGGUAGUCCCAGCCGUAAACGAUGCGCGUUAGGUGUACCGGCGACCACGAGUUGCCGGGGUGCCGAAGGGAAACCGUGAAACGUGCCGCCUGGGAAGUACGGUCGCAAGGCUGAAACUCAAAUGAAUUGACGG
This 698-nucleotide ribosomal RNA is filed under the name uncultured Methanogenium sp. RNAcentral describes it as "bacterial SSU rRNA". It matches the Rfam family "Archaeal small subunit ribosomal RNA", at positions 163 to 871 of the family's 1478-position model. The record is from RNAcentral. Lineage: Archaea; Methanobacteriati; Methanobacteriota; Methanomicrobia; Methanomicrobiales; Methanomicrobiaceae.